CAUCCCUUCUUCUUUCUACCAGGAUGACUCACCCUGGCUCGGGAGUAGGCCAUGUGAUUUAGGUUUAAGCCCAUCAAGGCAUUGCAUUUCCUUGGACUCCAAUGAUUGGCUUAUUGAUAAUCAUGUGACUUAAUUAGAGCCAAUUAGAGACGCAAUGAGACUUUUGCUGGGAAUUCUGGGAAGGAGACUCUGACUAGAUCCUUGCUUGACUUGAGACGUAUGAGGUUGGAGCAGCUGUAGCCACCCGCAUCUAUUGAGGGACACUGGUUUGAGAACACAGUCAAGACCAGAACAAGCAAGAGGCUGGAUCUUGAGGACAGUGCUUGAGCCCUCGAAUCAAUAUCUGAACUAACGGAGGAUCUAUGAAGAUAAUUGGCCAGGAGACUCUGAAACACCUGAAUCCUGCCUUUGGCUGGCCAGCCCCAUUUCUCAGCUGUGCCUUCACAGGAGCAGUCUGUCCCAGCACUGGGUGCCUGGGAUGCUUUGAUGUGGGCUACAUUCGGACAGCCUAAUACUUGGGGAAAAAUGUGCUGAAAUCGAACAAGAUUGCUUUCUGCCCAGCUGUUCUCCAAAGGCUCAGACAUUUUUAGCACUGAGCAAAGAAGCUUGUAUUUGUUUUGACAUUCCUGGCAAGAAGAACAAUGGUUUAUUAUCCCAGCACUUUACUAACAAAUAAGACUACCUCCAGCAGAGAUAAAAUAUGGGUCUUGACUUGAUUGCAUUUCAUGUCCAAGGGAAUUAUCUUCUAUUCAUUCUGAUGCCCUUUCAUUAUGCAGUGUAACUUUUUGCUCUUUAUCCUCACCCCUCAGAGUAACCCCUGGCUUUCACUCUGAGAAGGCAGCUUCCUGAAAUC
This 853-nucleotide long non-coding RNA is filed under the name Aotus nancymaae (Ma's night monkey). RNAcentral's name for it is "lncRNA (ENSANAG00000038796.1)". The record is from RNAcentral. Lineage: Eukaryota; Metazoa; Chordata; Mammalia; Primates; Aotidae.